This 1466-nucleotide unclassified non-coding RNA is filed under the name Hevea brasiliensis (rubber tree). The record is from RNAcentral. Lineage: Eukaryota; Viridiplantae; Streptophyta; Magnoliopsida; Malpighiales; Euphorbiaceae.
AACUGCACCCUGAAAAGAUCUCCUAGUGCUCCACGAAUUUCCAUCUGAUCACAACACACAAGUUUUGUAAGCAAAGGAUAGAAGUCUCUCAAAUGUCUUCUGAAAAUCUUGUCGUUCAUAAAGCACAUGCUUUUAAGCACCUUGACAAUGAUCGGUGACCGUAACUCAAGAACUCGAUGAACAUCCAUGUUAGUAGUCUCCCCAACAGAGGACUGAAGAUCAGAUGCUUCCCUGAGCACCUGUUCACAGAAAGAGACUAAUUUCGCUUCUGCUAUUCCUUCAAGUUUCUCAUCCCCAGUGCCAUCUUCAGUGACAUUUGAAUUAUUUUGCGCUGGAGUAAUAUCAACAUCUUCAGAAACAUUAGAUUCCAUGAGUUGCCCCUUGUUGGCACAGAAACCUGAAGUUGUUUUCUGUAAUACAUCAAGAUAUAUGCUAGUUCCCGCUAAUUCUUGACGAAGAAGGUUUAGAGGCAGCCUCUCAACAGCAAUGUGGCGCAUUCGCAUUCUGAGGUUUGGAUAUGAAUUAUAUGAAGCAGCAAACUCUAACAUGGAUAAUAAAACAUCCAUUAUAGCAAUCUUUUGUGGUGCUUUUAACUUGCUCCAGUACUUCUUCUGAAUACUAUCAAUAGCACCAAGAAGUAAUAAUUGAGUGAUGCACUUGCCCCUAAUACUUGUCAUCAAUGGACUUUCUUCCUCAUCUUUGGCAUCAGGCUCCACAGGAUCAGGAACCUUAAUUGGAGAUGAUGGCACUGACGCAUCAGAAGCACGGGCCUUGGAUUUGGAGGUGAGACUCCUCAUAAACAGAUUGUCCAUCAUAUUUCCCAUUAUUUUUUGACCUAGGGUCUGACUCCUUUGGAAACCAGCAGCUUCAGCAGGCUGCUGAGCUCUUCCUGAUGGUGAGGGAAGGCCUUCUGAUCCAUCCAAAUUGCUUAUGCUAUCCGGCAAGACAAAUGCAUUAUGAUUCCCUCCAAUGACAUGAGCACGACUUGGAGAUGCCAGUGCAGAUACUUUUCCAUUAUCACUGAUAUCAAAUUGGUGGUUAUCUGCAACAUCACUUGUAAUGACCUCUGAAUUCGUAACUAGUACUGAAGGGCUAUUUAGGUUCUCAAAACUAAGAGCAUUAAGCAACUCAAGCGGUUGUGUUGUGUAUGAAGCAUCUCUUAUGCUUUUCAACAAAGUGUUCCAGUCACUCUCACUAAACUGGUGACCUCCUACUUCAAUCAGAUGUACCAAUGCUCCCAAUGAUAUCGAAACCACAGUCUGAUCAGUCUUUUUGGCACAGUCCAAAAGCAAACUCAGAAGUGGAGGCAACAUGAAGCACACCUCCUUGUAGAAUGCGUUAAAAAGGUUGCAAAGCAACUGAAGUGAAUGAAUGCUGGUUUCUCGAAACCACUCAUCAUCAGAAGAGAUUAGGCUUUCCUUUCCAGCAUGUCUCACAUGAUCAAAAAUGGGAAACAACACACGAUG